Molecule: ribosomal RNA, 460 nt
Filed under: uncultured bacterium
Lineage: Bacteria
Description: partial 16S ribosomal RNA
Rfam family: Bacterial small subunit ribosomal RNA
Source: RNAcentral
CCUACGGGGUGCAGCAGUGAGGAAUAUUGGUCAAUGGGCGUAAGCCUGAACCAGCCAAGUCGCGUGAGGGAUGAAGGUUCUAUGGAUCGUAAACCUCUUUUAUAAGGGAAUAAAGUGUGGGACGUGUCCUGUUUUGUAUGUACCUUAUGAAUAAGGAUCGGCUAACUCCGUGCCAGCAGCCGCGGUAAUACGGAGGAUCCGAGCGUUAUCCGGAUUUAUUGGGUUUAAAGGGGGCGUAGGCGGCCUUUUAAGUCAGCGGUGAAAGUCUGUGGCUCAACCAUAGAAUUGCCGUUGAAACUGGGAGGCUUGAGUAUGUUUGAGGCAGGCGGAAGGCGUGGUGUAGCGGUGAAAUGCUUAGAUAUCACGCAGAACCCCGAUUGCGAAGGCAGCCUGCCAAGCCAUGACUGACGCUGAUGCACGAAAGCGUGGGGAUCAAACAGGAUUAGAUACCCCAGUAGUC